UGCAGGGUUGAAGUAAGAGAAUGAGGUC
RNAcentral lists this non-coding RNA (28 nucleotides) under Rattus norvegicus (Norway rat). Lineage: Eukaryota; Metazoa; Chordata; Mammalia; Rodentia; Muridae. The record is from RNAcentral.